GUUAUAUAUAUUUUUGUAGUUGUGUUGGCUAUUUUGGAAGAAUUUUAUGCGUUACUCUAUACAUCCAAUGCUUUAAUUGUUCCUGAUGAGAGUGAGUGUACAAAUAUCACUUUAGACGUUAUCACAUUAUUUGGUCAUCCAAUACAGCCAAAACUGUGUCGGCUGGAUACGACAAAAGGUUAAUUACUGUUAUCACAUGUUUUGUAUGAAGCA
RNAcentral lists this long non-coding RNA (213 nucleotides) under Mytilus galloprovincialis (Mediterranean mussel). The record is from RNAcentral. Lineage: Eukaryota; Metazoa; Mollusca; Bivalvia; Mytilida; Mytilidae.